CUCAAUUUUCCUGUCUCUUCCCCAAAUUCCAAUUCCCCUUCCCCUCCCCGCCAUCACUGAUCAACUAGGACUCUACCCAAGAAGAGCUUUGAACAGAUCAGUGCCAAUAUAACUAAGUUUAACAUUCAGGGCCUUGUCAUCAUUGGGGGCUUUGAGGCUUACACAGGGGGCCUGGAACUGAUGGAGGGCAGGAAGCAGUUUGAUGAGCUCUGCAUCCCAUUUGUGGUCAUUCCUGCUACAGUCUCCAACAAUGUCCCUGGCUCAGACUUCAGCGUUGGGGCUGACACAGCACUCAAUACUAUCUGCACAACCUGUGACCGCAUCAAGCAGUCAGCAGCUGGCACCAAGCGUCGGGUGUUUAUCAUUGAGACUAUGGGUGGCUACUGUGGCUACCUGGCUACCAUGGCUGGACUGGCAGCUGGGGC
RNAcentral lists this small RNA (425 nucleotides) under Pan troglodytes (chimpanzee). RNAcentral describes it as "retained intron". Lineage: Eukaryota; Metazoa; Chordata; Mammalia; Primates; Hominidae. The record is from RNAcentral.